This 478-nucleotide ribosomal RNA is filed under the name uncultured bacterium. RNAcentral's name for it is "partial 16S ribosomal RNA". It matches the Rfam family "Bacterial small subunit ribosomal RNA", at positions 28 to 507 of the family's 1533-position model. The record is from RNAcentral.
GAUGAACGCUGGCGGCGUGCUUAACACAUGCAAGUCGAACGGGAAGUGAGGACGGAAACCUUCGGGCGGAAGGCUUUAUUUCGAGUGGCGGACGGGUGAGUAACGCGUGGGUAACCUGCCUCAUACAGGGGGAUAACAGUUGGAAACGACUGUUAAUACCGCAUAAGACCACAGCACCGCAUGGUGCGGGGGUAAAAACUCCGGUGGUAUGAGAUGGACCCGCGUUCGAUUAGCCAGUUGGCGGGGUAACGGCCCACCAAAGCGACGAUCGAUAGCCGAUCUGAGAGGAUGACCGGCCACAUUGGGACUGAGACACGGCCCAAACUCCUACGGGAGGCAGCAGUGGGGAAUAUUGCACAAUGGGGGAAACCCUGAUGCAGCGACGCCGCGUGAGUGAAGAAGUAUUUCGGUAUGUAAAGCUCUAUCAGCAGGGAAGAAAAUGACGGUACCUGAGUAAGAAGCCCCGGCUAACUACGUG